UUGCAACCUACGAACGCCUCUCGCGGUUCGACAACUUCCCGUUGUUUCGAAUAAUAAAAUGACAAAAAUACCCCCAAUUUGCGUAAGAGGAUAUGUGUUCCGCCUCAAUCAUUUUCACGAUUCUCAUCAUCUCCUCUAUCGCGGCCCUGCAAUCUCCCAUUCCCAUGCUGAAUCAUCUGACGAUCACUCAUCUCAGCUAUCGGAGAUCGCUCAUCACUUUGAUUCCAAUUCUCGUCUCCGCUAUUGCAUCGCUCCUCGCGGUAAUCUACCCAGGCUACAUCGCAUAAUUGAUUGGAGGUCACUCGCCCGCUCAGCAAUUAAGAAAUUAAAUGGAUAAACCAAAGGAUGGUGGAGCAUCUGCAACAUGUGAGCAAGAUGUGAAGAUUAUAUUUUGUGAUUUAUGUAUUAGAGAGAUUGAAUUUGAAAAUCGACGGACAACUCACUUCAAUAAAGAGGGUUGGUUGAAUUUAAUGAAGAAUUUUAGUGAGAAAACUGGAAGAGAGUAUGAUCAAGUGCAGCUAAAAAAUAAAUGUAAUGCUGACUUCUGUGAAGAUGUGGUAAGCAAAGAAAUCUGAGAUGUAAUGCAGACUUCUGCGGGCAACCGCUCUGUCCAAGGUAACCAAUUAUCGUCUUAGAUUCAGUUAUGCACUCUCUUGCAAGGUAAGCAAAGAAAUCUGAGAUGUAAUGCUGACUUCUGUGAAGAUGUGGUAUUUAUGAUGCUUAAGAUAGAAUAUUUCGCUUCGUGAUAGCAUUUCUGGGCUUACGCAACUGAAGGUUUUUAUCAAGGAACAUUGUAAUGUUCAUGCUGAAGUUCUUUAAAAUUUUUUUAGAAUCAA
This is a long non-coding RNA of Dendrobium catenatum, 836 nucleotides long. RefSeq lists it as uncharacterized. The record is from RefSeq and is a predicted model, not a curated record. NCBI's taxonomy places the organism in Eukaryota, Viridiplantae, Streptophyta, Magnoliopsida, Asparagales, Orchidaceae. The transcript has 2 exons.